UAGGGAAUCUUCGGCAAUGGACGAAAGUCUGACCGAGCAACGCCGCGUGAGUGAAGAAGGUUUUCGGAUCGUAAAACUCUGUUGUUCGAGAAGAACAAGGACGUUAGUAACUGAACGUCCCCUGACGGUAUCUAACCAGAAAGCCACGGCUAACUACGUGCCAGCAGCCGCGGUAAUACGUAGGUGGCAAGCGUUGUCCGGAUUUAUUGGGCGUAAAGCGAGCGCAGGCGGUUUCUUAAGUCUGAUGUGAAAGCCCCCGGCUCAACCGGGGAGGGUCAUUGGAAACUGGGAGACUUGAGUGCAGAAGAGGAGAGUGGAAUUACAUGUGUAGCGGUGAAAUGCGUAGAUAUAUGGAAGAACACCAGUGGCGAAGGCGGCUCUCUGGUCUGUAACUGACGCUGAGGCUCGAAAGCGUGGGGAGCAAACAGG
Molecule: ribosomal RNA, 429 nt
Filed under: Gemmatimonadota bacterium
Lineage: Bacteria; Pseudomonadati; Gemmatimonadota
Description: Gemmatimonadetes bacterium partial 16S ribosomal RNA
Rfam family: Bacterial small subunit ribosomal RNA
Source: RNAcentral